CCCAACUGUUGGCAACUGCUUAGAUUGCUUUGUAUCUAGGCAAGUGUACCACUGUUGGGAGAAAAGCAGCCAGUAGGCAGGCAUUCUGGGCCUGGUUAGUGCCAACUCUGUAUUAACUAUAACAGU
Small nucleolar RNA from Ochotona princeps (American pika), 126 nucleotides. Its record names the gene SNORA74. It matches the Rfam family "Small nucleolar RNA SNORA74". From Rfam's summary of the family: U19 belongs to the H/ACA class of snoRNAs. snoRNAs bind a number of proteins (including dyskerin, Gar1p and Nop10p in the case of the H/ACA class) to form snoRNP complexes. The record is from Ensembl. Lineage: Eukaryota; Metazoa; Chordata; Mammalia; Lagomorpha; Ochotonidae.